This 463-nucleotide ribosomal RNA is filed under the name uncultured bacterium. Its description in RNAcentral is "partial 16S ribosomal RNA". It matches the Rfam family "Bacterial small subunit ribosomal RNA", at positions 28 to 507 of the family's 1533-position model. The record is from RNAcentral.
GAUGAACGCUGACAGAAUGCUUAACACAUGCAAGUCUUUGGCGAAGCUGUGCUUGCACAGCCUAGCCAAGGCGGACGGGUGAGUAACGCGUAAGGAACUUGCCCUGCAGUCAGGGAUAACAGACGGAAACGACUGAUAAGACCUGGUAAAGUCAGGCGGACUCAUGUCCAGCCUGAUGAAAAGAGAUGCUGCAGGAGAGCCUUGCGUCCUAUUAGCUUGUUGGUGGGGUAACGGCCCACCAAGGCGAUGAUAGGUAGCCGGCCUGAGAGGGUGGACGGCCACAAGGGGACUGAGAUGCGGCCCUUACUCCUACGGGAGGCAGCAGUGAGGAAUAUUGGACAAUGGGGGCAACCCUGAUCCAGCAAUUCUGUGUGCACGAUGAAGGUUUUCGGAUUGUAAAGUGCUUUCAGCAGGGAAGAAAAAAAUGACGGUACCUGCAGAAGAAGCGACGGCUAAAUACGUG